AUACGGAGGAUCCGAGCGUUAUCCGGAUUUAUUGGGUUUAAAGGGUGCGCAGGCGGCCAUUUAAGUCAGCGGUUAAAUCGUGGGGCUCAACCCCAUUCUGCCGUUGAUACUGGGUGGCUUGAUUGAGGUCGAGGUUGGCGGAAUUCGUUGUGUAGCGGUGAAAUGCAUAGAUAUGACGAAGAACACCGAUUGCGUAGGCAGCUGACCAGAUCGCAAAUGACGCUCAUGCACGAAAGUGCGGGGAUCGAACAGGAUUAGAUGCCCUGGUAGUCCGCACAGUAAACGAUGAAUACUUGUUUUCGGCGAUAUAAUGUCGGAGGCAAAGCGAAAGCGAUAAGUAUUCCACCUGGGGAGUACGCCGGCAACGGUGAAACUCAAAGGAAUUGACGGGG
This 392-nucleotide ribosomal RNA is filed under the name uncultured bacterium. RNAcentral describes it as "partial 16S ribosomal RNA". It matches the Rfam family "Bacterial small subunit ribosomal RNA", at positions 523 to 918 of the family's 1533-position model. The record is from RNAcentral.